RNAcentral lists this transfer RNA (70 nucleotides) under Polynucleobacter brandtiae. RNAcentral's name for it is "Polynucleobacter sp. UB-Domo-W1 tRNA-Cys". It matches the Rfam family "tRNA". From Rfam's summary of the family: Transfer RNA (tRNA) molecules are approximately 80 nucleotides in length. Their secondary structure includes four short double-helical elements and three loops (D, anti-codon, and T loops). Lineage: Bacteria; Pseudomonadati; Pseudomonadota; Betaproteobacteria; Burkholderiales; Burkholderiaceae. The record is from RNAcentral.
GCGGAAUGGCAGAGUGGUUAUGCUGCAGCUUGCAAAGCUGUAUACCCUGGUUCGAUUCCAGGAUUCCGCC